UACGUAGGGGGGCAAGCGUUGUCCGGAUUUAUUGGGCGUAAAGAGCGUGUAGGCGGUUUGGUAGGUCCGCUGUGAAAACUCGAGGCUCAACCUCGAGACGCCGGUGGAAACCAUCAGGCUAGAGUCCGGAAGAGGAGAGUGGAAUUCCUGGUGUAGCGGUGGAAUGCGCAGAUAUCAGGAGGAACACCGGUGGCGAAGGCGGGUCUCUGGGCCGAUACUGACGCUGAGGAGCGAAAGCGUGGGGAGCGAACAGG
Molecule: ribosomal RNA, 254 nt
Filed under: uncultured bacterium
Lineage: Bacteria
Description: partial 16S ribosomal RNA
Rfam family: Bacterial small subunit ribosomal RNA
Source: RNAcentral